This 253-nucleotide ribosomal RNA is filed under the name uncultured bacterium. RNAcentral's name for it is "partial 16S ribosomal RNA". It matches the Rfam family "Bacterial small subunit ribosomal RNA", at positions 524 to 776 of the family's 1533-position model. The record is from RNAcentral.
UACGUAGGGUGCAAGCGUUGUCCGGAAUUAUUGGGCGUAAAGAGCGCGCAGGCGGUCGAUCAAGUCGAGUGUGAAAGCCCCCGGCUCAACUGGGGAGGGUCAUUCGAUACUGAUCGACUCGAAGGCAGGAGAGGGUAGUGGAAUUCCCGGUGUAGUGGUGAAAUGCGUAGAUAUCGGGAGGAACACCAGUGGCGAAGGCGGCUCACUGGUCCGGUUCUGACGCUGAGGUGCGAAAGCGUGGGGAGCAAACAGG